RNA transcript from Fragaria vesca subsp. vesca, 379 nucleotides. RefSeq lists it as uncharacterized. NCBI's taxonomy places the organism in Eukaryota, Viridiplantae, Streptophyta, Magnoliopsida, Rosales, Rosaceae. The transcript is spliced from 4 exons. The record is from RefSeq and is a predicted model, not a curated record.
CUCUCUCUAUAUUUCAUCUCUUUACUCUCUCUCUCUCCUCAAUUUUCGUCACUUUCUCUCUCUAGAUUUUCUUUUGCGACUAAAUUUCGGCGGAUCAUAACUUUUGAUCCGUAACUCCGAUUCUAAAUCUACGAAGUGCUACGAGUUCGUCUCAAUGUCCUCUUUCUAUUGUUGAGGUUUGGGUUAGAUCCAAAGGUGAAUUUAGAUGACUCGUUUCAGGAGGCUCGGUUUACGAUCAGUAUUCGUGGUGGGGAUUCCUAUUGACGAGGACGUGAGGAGGAUAAUUUGGAGGAAGCCUCGGGCCGUCGGCAAACAUAGCCAAGCACAGCUUUUCGUUUUAAAUGACCAGUCUGCAGAGUUCUGUUAUGACUCCACUUAA